Cherax quadricarinatus is the source of this 106-nucleotide small nuclear RNA. NCBI's taxonomy places the organism in Eukaryota, Metazoa, Arthropoda, Malacostraca, Decapoda, Parastacidae. The record is from RefSeq and is a predicted model, not a curated record.
GUACGUGCUUAAGCGCACAUAUACUAAAACUGGAACGAUACAGAGAAGAUUAGCAAGGCCCCUGUGCAAGGAUGACAUGCAAAAUCGUGAACCGUUCUACAUUUUU